This 2396-nucleotide long non-coding RNA is filed under the name Podarcis muralis (Common wall lizard). Its description in RNAcentral is "lncRNA (ENSPMRG00000017265.1)". The record is from RNAcentral. Lineage: Eukaryota; Metazoa; Chordata; Lepidosauria; Squamata; Lacertidae.
CAGAAUAAGACAAUGGGUAUGGACAGCAACUGUUGCUUGGUGGGGCAAGUGGGAGCAGUCCUCUCAUGCAGCAGAUGAAAGCUUGAGUGGGAUUGACCAAUGGGUCUGAAUAGGUGUAAGGCAGCUUCUGGUGCCUUUAGCACAGCAACAUCAUUGCAGCGUCUUGGACAAACACUGGGUGGGAUAUCUGCAUGCACCAAACAGCCACUGCCAUCAUUAACUCUGAGUAUAUCUUCCCCUUCCAGUUCCUUUCACGUGUGGUGUUCAAAGAAAUACGAGGGUGGUGCGGCUCCUGCGGAAGAAAACGAGGGUCAGACAUCACUCUUGAGUAGGCAUGUUCUGGGGCCAUAAGUCAUGGUAAGUCUACUUCUCAAGCCCCUGGUGUUACUUAGUAGGUCAUCUCCUGCUUUCUGCUCUCGUUGGGACCUCAUGGUCAAAGGUUUCAUCACUCCUUCCUUGGCCUUCUGCCACCUCUGUUGGAAUAAGCGAGGCUGUUGUACUCUGGUGGUGGAACUGGUGUUCAUGGGAACUUAGAAGGAGCCAAGAGAGCCCUAAGCAAUCCACUGAGUUUCCACGGGUUUUCACACUUCUUUCUUGUGAGUCUGCAUUUCUGUGGUCACCUCUGAAGAUCCUCUAUUCCCAACUUCUUGACUGAUUUUUCUUCUGCUUCCUCUUGAAUUCUAAACCUGAAACGAAGGAAUGGGCUUAGAGCAAGGGUGCAGUUGGGGACAUCAGGAAUGGGCAACCUGGUGGGGCAACACUCCUUCUUUGACCUCCAGUCGGUUGCAGCACUUAUGUUUACCAGCAGCAAAGUCAUUGCAGUGCAAAUGCGCCACUGAAGAUUAUCUGCUGAUGCAUUUGCACCUAGCUGCCCUUCUCGCCCCUCCAGCAGCAAUACGACUGUGAGCAGCCAUCUGCUGCUGGGUGACAUCCAGCUUUGGUCAGAAAGAACGGAAAUAGGUUCAUAUUGCAAUAUGAACUUGGUGGAUGGGCAUUUAAAUCCAGUUUUCAUCCAGAGGGUGCUUCCAGAAUGCAAAUUCAGAUCUCGCACACAGGACACUGGCAACAGGUGUUUCUUAUUUUUUUAUCUAAAAAAACUUAGCAUGGAAAAUGUAAAUCCUGAUUAAAUACAGACUGGCACAUGGGAAAUACAGACUGGUAUAUGGCAUCAAAUGGCAUAAAUGCACAAUAGAUGCCUGUCCUUAAGGGUAACUUUCUGUCUAGGUCAGUGGCUUCCAAUUAGGGGUCCAGGAACCUCUGGGCAUCCAUGGAACGCACCCAGGGGGGUCUGCAGUCCCAUCCCUUGCCUCCCCCCAACUAAAUUUUUGUCAAUUUUUUUGCAGGCUAAUAUCACAAAUUUUAUGGUCUGUUUUUAGUAUACCUAAAAUCCUUUGCUUAUUAGGGGCUACCCACAUUUUGUUCGAAAAAAGUACUUUGUAGAGGUAACUGCUGCAGAGUAAUCAAAAUUGUCAAAAGUAGGGGGUCUGUGGUUUGGCUUUUGAAAAAUAGGGGGUCCUCAGUAAUUAGCUAAUUGGGAACCACUGGUCUAGGUCAUAUUAUUAUUAUUAUUAUUAUUAUUAUUAUUAUUAUUGCUACUACUAUUAUUAUGAGCUGCAACAAAUUGUUGCAGUGUGCGGAGCACCUGUUCUUCUGCCAGCCAUGCCCUUUCCCAUUUCACCACUAGCCUCCAGAUCUGUAUUAGACAUACGCACACCAGGUAUUUAGCAUCCUGUAUCCAAUGAGGAUGCUCAAUUCCUAUUGGGCCAUUUUUUCGGUGCCCCACCCUACCCCUGCUUCAAGUGGGGUUGGUUACAUUUUUUUUUUACUACUUGAAAUGCUGCAGUCCAUCCCCCCCCCCAAUUUUUAUGCAUUCUGUGACAUUUGGGCUAUGUAAGGAUCACAACUUGCAGAAGCUUGAUGUAUGUGAUCUAUAAUGAUCAUUUUAUAAAUUAUUUAUCUAAAAGCAUUUCUCAUCCACCCAAAGGCACCAGGGUGGAAAUAUAUGCAGCCUACAACCAAAACGAAACAAUAAGAUUAAAACAAAAUACAGUGGUACCUCGGAAGUCCGUUUGACUUCCAAAGCGUUCGGAAACCAAGGCGCAGCUUCCGAUUGGCUGCAGGAAGCUCCUGCAGCCUAUCGGAAGCCACGUCAGAUGUUUGGGUUUCAAAGAACGUUCGCAAACCAGAACACUCACUUCCAGGUUUGCGGCGUUUGGGAGCCAAAACGUUCAACUCACAAGGCAUUCAACUCACCCAGGGACUUUGCCCAAGCCAGAGAGGAUGCAACAGGAACUGCUUUAGCUUGGAAGCCUUCUGAAAAAUCUGUCUCUAUCGCUCUUCCUUUAAAUCUGCUGGCCCUUGAAAAGGUAUCCCCCCCCCACCUGCAUUGGGGUGUC